This 433-nucleotide ribosomal RNA is filed under the name uncultured bacterium. RNAcentral describes it as "partial 16S ribosomal RNA". It matches the Rfam family "Bacterial small subunit ribosomal RNA", at positions 29 to 507 of the family's 1533-position model. The record is from RNAcentral.
AACGAACGCUGGCGGCAGGCUUAACACAUGCAAGUCGAGCGAGACCUUCGGGUCUAGCGGCGGACGGGUGAGUAACGCGUGGGAACGUGCCCUUCUCUACGGAAUAGCCCCGGGAAACUGGGAGUAAUACCGUAUACGCCCUUUGGGGGAAAGAUUUAUCGGAGAAGGAUCGGCCCGCGUUGGAUUAGGUAGUUGGUGGGGUAAUGGCCCACCAAGCCGACGAUCCAUAGCUGGUUUGAGAGGAUGAUCAGCCACACUGGGACUGAGACACGGCCCAGACUCCUACGGGAGGCAGCAGUGGGGGAUCGUAGACAAUGGGGGCAACGCUGAUCUAGCCAUGCCGCGUGAAUGAUGAAGGCGUUAGGGUUGUAAAGCUCUUUCAGCUGGGAAGAUAAUGACGGUACGAGCAGAAGAAGCCCCGGCUAACUCCGUG